GCAUCUGGAUGAUGGGGAUGGACCACUGACAAGUGUUUUCAUUGAUCUGAAAUUAGCAAGACCACAGGCCAGAGUUGUCUCAAAUCCUCGCGUAUAUAUGAAUCACCAGGGCAUCUUGUUAAGAUGCUGCAGGUUUAGGGAGGGGCAGAGAGUGUGCCUUUCUAACAAGCUUCCAGGUGAUAUUGAGAUCUUGAUGCAGCUGGUUCUCAGACCGUGCUUUGAGAAGCGAGGCUACGCUUACCUGGCAGUUUGCUUUUCGGAGAUUUAUCCCGAGGGAACAUGGAUAAUAAAAGCUGUAUUGGGUCAAGAAGUUUUCAUCUAAGAAGGAGGAUUGUGCAAUAGAAAGAGGACUAACGAGGAGCAGGAAAACCAGGGCUGAAUUCCAAGUUAUGCAACAAGCUAACUGGGUGCAUUUGGAUAAGCUAUAGCCUCUCUGAGCUACAAGGAGGAGGUUAAGCUGUGUUGAACAUGUAUCCAGAGCACAAACAGAAACACCCAUUUGGAAAUGUCUGGAUUUGAUGAUGUCCAAGGUCUCUUCUUAACGCGGAUAUCCUGUGAUCUCAGUGACAAGCAUAAAGAGGGAAAGAGUUGGAGACUCAGUGAGAGACAGGGGGCACCCUCAAAUCAGGAUAAUUUGAGGAAGAUCCAUGAAGAGGCUAUUUUCAAAGGAACAAGUCACAAGAGAGUCCCAAAAGUUACAGCUUCUGAGAAAGAAACCAGAGGUCUGAGGAAAGGGGUUACCUCUGUUUUUACGGAUGGGAGGCAGACACGGAAAGGUGAAGCCUCAUCUAAGAUUACACAGUUGGAUCGUGCAAAGAUGCAAGUUCUCAGGGGUGGGGCUCCCAGGGACUUUAUCACUCAGCAAGCAGCUUGGCUAAUAGAAUGCAGGAUCAGAUAUCGAGCAGCAACUAUUCAGCUAUAGAUACCAGCUUCCUGUGUUUGGAAAAGGUGAAAGAACAGAGAGGAGGGAAUGACUUACAACAAAACCAACAUGUGGCUGCUGCUGCUGCUGAUCAUCUCUAACUGACCACUUUACUGUCAGUGCCAAGCAUUGUGCCAAGCGCUGGAUCAAUAUUAUCUCACUUAAUUGUCAUCCCAGUUCUGUGAGGUUUGUAAGAAUGAUCUACAAGAAGGAAACUUUUUAAAAGAUCAUUGAAUUCCGGGAUCCUUCUGUCUGGACUCAUUCUCUGAAUGAGUGUUUCUUAACAUUUCAGGAAAUCAGAAACUCCUCUCAGAGUUAGAAACCCUCUCCUCGGAAGAACGCACAUGGGAUAGAAACUUGCAUCUUCUCUCACAAGUUAAAUCUCACGUGAAUCCCAGGUGUCCAGGUCCAAGCCUUUCU
RNAcentral lists this long non-coding RNA (1342 nucleotides) under Equus asinus (donkey). RNAcentral's name for it is "lncRNA (ENSEASG00005025117.1)". Lineage: Eukaryota; Metazoa; Chordata; Mammalia; Perissodactyla; Equidae. The record is from RNAcentral.